Molecule: long non-coding RNA, 882 nt
Organism: Mauremys mutica (yellowpond turtle)
Lineage: Eukaryota; Metazoa; Chordata; Testudines; Geoemydidae
Exons: 3
Source: RefSeq, a predicted model, not a curated record
ACAGAGCUGGAGCCGGGCUUCCCUACACUGAGCCCAGCCCGGUUCCCAGCGGCGGUAGCAGCCCGUCGGCCUGGCUCGUACUCGCCUGCCCAGUGCGGGGCAGCCAGCUCCGCCCGCCCGCAGCAGGGCAAGGGCAGCCCCAGCCCGCUCAGGGUAGCUGCUGCGCUGCCCUCGGUGUCGGGGGAGCCCCGAGCCGGAAAGCAAACCGGCCACCAGGUCAACCCGGAGCCCCGACCUCCAAAGGCUGGCAGGAGGCGUUAACCCUUACCUGGAAGCAGCUGAUCCUAUCUCAUAGAGCUGGAAGGAACCCCGAAAGGAGUACAUCUGGACUAUCACAGUUCUGAAAAAAGUGCACAACCCCCUGGUCAUCAUUUGAAGAUCAUCACUGGAUAAUGGAGAACCUGAUUCAAAGGCAGCUGAAGUCAGAGAAAGUCUUUCCAUUACCUUCAAAGGCCUUCUAGUAGGUUCCUUAAUACCUAAACAAAUAGGGACAAAUUCCACACUGCGCCACUGGGGAGGCAGGCUGCAAAAGGUGCAGCCCACAGCAGGGGAAGGGCAAAGGCGGCUAAUAUACCAUCUUUGCAUUUACCUAAUUCUGGACUGCUCCACCCACCAGUGCACUCUCCGGCAUGAGCUUGACUAGCCAUUGGGGCUGCAAAAUUGAUGGCAGCUUUGCAUGGGUGUCUAUGGGCUAAAUUCACAGCCUAGAUUAGCUGGAAUGCUUUGUGCUCUGCCCAUUCCCCUCUUGUCCCUACACAGGGGGCACCCUAUGUGAAGACUCAAUAUUGCACAUACUGUACACGGUAGUUAUUUUUCAUAAUGAAUUUUAAUAGGUUCAAUUUUAGCAUGCAAUAUAGACAGCAGAACUAUAUAGUGAUACAA